Pelobates cultripes (western spadefoot toad) is the source of this 699-nucleotide non-coding RNA. NCBI's taxonomy places the organism in Eukaryota, Metazoa, Chordata, Amphibia, Anura, Pelobatidae. The record is from the annotation of a GenBank genome assembly.
CACACAUCAUCCAGCACUCACACACACAUCAUCCAGCACUCACACACACAAUCAUCCAGCACACACACACAAUCAUCCAGCACACACACACAAUCAUCCAGCACACACACACACACACACACAUCAUCCAGCACACACACACACACACAUCAUCCAGCACUCACACACACACACACAUCAUCCAGCACUCACACACACAACAUCAUCCAGCACUCACACACACACACAUCAUCCAGCACUCACACACACACAUCAUCCAGCACCUCACACACACACAUCAUCCAGCACCUCACACACACACACACACACUCAUCCACAGCACGCACACACACACACAUCAUCCAGCACACACACACAUCAUCCACAGCACACAGCCACACACACACACACACACAUCAUCCAGCACACACACAUCAUCCAGCACACACACAUCAUCCAGCACACACACACUCAUCCAGCACACACACACAUCAUCCAGCACACACACACACACACAUCAUCCAGCACACACACACACAUCAUCCAGCACUCACACACACAUAAUCCAGCACACACACACACAUCAUCCAGCACACACUCACACAUCAUCCAGCACACACACACACAUCAUCCAGCACACACACACACAUCAUCCAGCACACACACACACAUCAUCCAGCACACACACACACAUCAUCCAGCACUCACACACACAUCAUC